This 72-nucleotide transfer RNA is filed under the name Insectozyma prachuapensis. RNAcentral's name for it is "Candida prachuapensis tRNA-His". It matches the Rfam family "tRNA". Rfam says of the family: Transfer RNA (tRNA) molecules are approximately 80 nucleotides in length. Their secondary structure includes four short double-helical elements and three loops (D, anti-codon, and T loops). Further hydrogen bonds mediate the characteristic L-shaped molecular structure. tRNAs have two regions of fundamental functional importance: the anti-codon, which is responsible for specific mRNA codon recognition, and the 3' end, to which the tRNAs corresponding amino acid is attached (by aminoacyl-tRNA synthetases). tRNAs cope with the degeneracy of the genetic code in two manners: having more than one tRNA (with a specific anti-codon) for a particular amino acid; and 'wobble' base-pairing, i.e. permitting non-standard base-pairing at the 3rd anti-codon position. Lineage: Eukaryota; Fungi; Ascomycota; Pichiomycetes; Serinales; Debaryomycetaceae. The record is from RNAcentral.
GGUAGCUAUAAUUCAAAGGUAGAAUGGCUGUAUGUGGCAUAGUAUAUCUGAGUUCAAUUCUCAGUAGUUACC